Apis dorsata (giant honeybee) is the source of this 3113-nucleotide RNA transcript. It is a transcript of the gene named bis(5'-adenosyl)-triphosphatase enpp4-like, with no coding region annotated. Lineage: Eukaryota; Metazoa; Arthropoda; Insecta; Hymenoptera; Apidae. The transcript has 10 exons. The record is from RefSeq and is a predicted model, not a curated record.
UUUUAAACACAUUUAUUGUACAUUUAUUUAUUAUAUAGAUAGUAAAAAUCUAUUUAAAGUUCAAUCGAAUUCGUUUUACUAAUCAUUCUAGAUUAAAGUAAGCAUUUCUUUACGAAUUGAUCGUUACAAAAGAUAUUAAUACGAUUAUCAUGUAACAGAAAGGUUGCAUUACUUUACAGUUUUAUAGUUCAUGAAUGAGAGAAUGCAUUUAGUAUUUAACAGACAGUGCUGAUGAAGAAUUAGCUAACAUUUGCAAUUUUACCAUGAAGAAUUACUAUCUGGUAAUUUACAAUCGAACAAGAUUCACUAUUGAAGUGAUUUUAACAGCAUGAAGAAAAUACAGCAAUAAAUAAUUCAUCAAAUAAAAUAAUUUUUCUUGAUAAAAACCGAUAUAUAUUGUAAACAUUCAUCAUGAAUUCUGUAAUUAUAUUUGCUCUAACACUUGUCAUAUUACUUAAUGUAAAAUAUGGAUUAUUGAUAUCACAGCAUCCAAAGUUAUUAGUAGUAUCAUUUGAUGCAUUCAGAUAUGAUUAUUUUAACAGAAACUUAACACCAUUUAUGAAUAAAUUAAGACAUGAAGGCACACAUGCAGAUUAUAUGAUGAAUAUUUUUGUUACAAAAACAUUUCCCAAUCAUCAUACAAUGGCUACAGGAUUAUAUGCAGAAACACAUGGAGUUAUAGAUAAUGAAUUUUAUGAUGUUAUUUCUGGAAAUAUAACAAAAUAUUCAUAUAAUUUGUAUCAUUAUGAUAAUAAAGUUCUUCCUAUUUGGACUGCUAAUGAAAAAGGAGGUGCACAAAGGCGAAGUGGCUCAAUGAUGUGGCCUGGUGGCAUUUAUGAAUAUCAAGGAAUAACUCCUACAUUUACACAGAAUUUUAAUGAAAAUGUACCUUGGGAAGAAAGAAUAGAUACUUUAAUAUCAUGGUUUAUUCAUCCUAUACAUCCAAUUAAUUUUGGAAUAUUAUAUAUUGAAGAACCAGAUUAUCACGGUCAUGGCAUUGGAAUAAAAGGACUUGAAUUUGAUAAUAUUCUUAGAAAAUUAGAUAAUAUAACUAAAUAUCUUCAUAACAAGAUAGAAUACCAUGGCUUAAAUGAUCUCAAUGUUGUUCAUUUGAGUGAUCAUGGAAUGGCAACUGUUAAGUUAGAUAGAAUAAUAGAUCUAACAAAAUAUAUUAACAGUUCUGAUUAUAAAUUUGUGGGUACUUCACCAGGAUUACAUAUUUUUCCUAAUCCUGGCAAAGAAGAAACAAUUUAUCAAACAUUAAAACAAAUGGCAUCAAAAUUGAGAAAAUUUAGAGUUUAUAGAAGAGAGGAAAUUCCUAAAAAAUAUCAUUAUGGAAAUAAUACACGUAUUGGUCCUAUUUUUGUUAUUGCUGAAGUGGGAUAUGCAUUUCAAAAUCUUCUUGACAAUAUUGAGUUUUAUAAAAAGAAAUUUAAUAUUACAGUAAACAAUGAUUCAGAAUUUGGUCUGCAUGGUUAUGAUAAUGAAGCUAUAGAAAUGCAUCCUUUUUUUUUUGCAAAAGGCCCUGCAUUUAUGUCUAACUGCAAACUUGAACCUUUUAAUAAUCUAGAUUUAUAUCCAUUAUUCUGUAAAAUACUUGAUCUUCAAUGUCCUAUAGUAAAUGGUACUUUAUCGCAUUUAACCAAGUGCCUUAAAAAACAUCAGCAGGAUAUUACAGUGAUUGCUUAUCGAAUGAUAUUUAUAGCUACCAUCAUAUCCAUGUCAAUGGUUGGAGUUAUAGGAGCAAUAGUAAUGUUCUAUAUGAGAAAACGACGAUUGGGAGUUAGAAGUUACAGGAGAUAUUAUCCAGUGGAUGGAUAAUAUAUAAAAAAUAUCGAGCAAUAUAUGAAAUUUAUGAAUUUUCAUAUUGCAUAUAGAUAACAAACUGAAUCACAAAAGUAAAGAUGAUAUAAUAAUAAAAAAAUAGCAUAGUCAUCUUCCUGAUGGAGAAUAAAUAAAUAUAAUUUCGUUUAUCAUAAAUUGAUCGUUUAUCGUCAUUUUAUUGUUUUAAUCCUCAGUAAAAUAGUAAAAUAUUUGCAUUUUAUUCGUUUUAAAUAAUUAAUUAUUUAGUACCUAUAUAAUACCUAUAGAAUUAAUUCAUAUUAUACUAUACAUAUAUAUUUUUAAAUUUAUAAUAAUAUGUAUCAUUUUGAAUUAGUUUUUAUUAGGAAAUGUUAAAUAUAUGAGGUAUGCAAAAAAUUUUAAUGUUUAAACAAUUAUUAAAGCACAAUAAUAAGAAUAAAUUUUUUAAUAAAGAACGAAAAUUAAAUUUCUCAUUUAUAUGUUUAUAAAUUCAUUAUAAAAAGAGUUAUUUCCUAAUACUUCUUUUCCUUGUAGCAUUAAUAUAAAAAAUAACCAGAUUCGACUUUUGUUUUUAGAAGAAUACUGGAAGAUUUGGAAGCACAAUACCAUUGGGAUGAAAAUCACGAUAUUGAAAAUGCUACUUGCAAAUUAAACAAUUUUCCAGAUUUAUUCAUAAUUUCAUGCUACGCGAAGAAUAAAUAUUUGUACGCAUAUAAAGGAAAUGUUAAGUAUAGGAAAACUCUGUUUCAUUGUAGGUGACAUAUAUUUUACUCAUUAUAUGGUUAAUAUAUUUUUAUAUACAUAUAAAUGAGAAAAUAAUUCUGUGAUAAAAGGAAAAAGAAUUGAUACUUUCAAAUGUGAAUUUUUUACAAAUAAUAUAUAGUGAAUAAUCAUUAUUAAGUCUUAGACAUAAAAAUUCAGUUUUCGUAAUAUUUCCUUGACAAAAUUCUUAUUUUUUUCAUAAUUAUAUUAUACAAAAUACAGUCAUUAUAUCAUACAAAAUAUUAAUAAUAUAAUAUAUAUAAAAAUCUUGUUUCUAAUGAUAUAAAAAUUCUAUGAAUAUAAAUGAUAUCAAAAAAUUUGUUUGAAAUGAAAUCUUUCAUAAAAGAAUGAUAAUAUGCACAGUAUUAUUUUAAAAAUUAGCAUAUAAUAUGAUUCAUUCUAUACAUCAUUUAUGGAAUAUUUUACAAAAUUCAAUUUUGUAAAUUUUAAUUUGCAAACCAAAUGUACUUAUCAUAAUUAUGCACCAAUUGUAUAACAAUUCGUAUGUAAAUAAAUCAAUAUUGUAAAUAAAUACUAUUAACAUAAAA